CAAUUAAAGACUUUCUUUAUUUAAAAAAUUAAAUUUAAUUUUUUAAAGUGCAAAAGCAAAAAUGAAGAUUUGGGACAAGAAGACCCUAUGAAUUUUUAUUUAUUUAUAAUUUUUAAAAAUUAUAAAUAAAUUUGAUUGGGGCGAUGGAUAAAGAAUAGAUAUCUUUAUUUAAAUUUUAAAAAAUUAGUUCCGUUUAUAGCGAUUAAAUGAAAAAAAUACUCUAGGGAUAACAGCGUAAUAAUUUUGGAUAGUUCAUAUAGAUAAAAUAGUUUGCGACCUCG
RNAcentral lists this ribosomal RNA (281 nucleotides) under Ixodes ventalloi. Its description in RNAcentral is "partial large subunit ribosomal RNA". The record is from RNAcentral. Lineage: Eukaryota; Metazoa; Arthropoda; Arachnida; Ixodida; Ixodidae.